This is a long non-coding RNA of Mangifera indica (mango), 312 nucleotides long. RefSeq lists it as uncharacterized. The transcript has 3 exons. Lineage: Eukaryota; Viridiplantae; Streptophyta; Magnoliopsida; Sapindales; Anacardiaceae. The record is from RefSeq and is a predicted model, not a curated record.
CAAAGAUUUGAACCUGAAAGCAUUAAAUUGACUAUGUUUUGAAACGAUGGAGAAAGAAAAGCACAAAAUUCAAAAAUGGCGUUACUGCGAUGGCAGCAACAAUGGCCACACUGCUUUCUGGUUAAUUGACUUCUGAAGCAAUGGUUUUACAGCUCUGCAAGCAUUAUCUCUUCUUGGAAUUAGUAAGCGAUACCCAACGCCCAGCAUGGAGGUCUCAAACCCAUUAAGCAUUCGUAGGAGACAAGGGAGGGAGCUUGAUAGGCAAAGGUGAGUCCGACGCUCAUUGUUUCCCAGGAUAAUUCAGUAACAAAC